RNAcentral lists this ribosomal RNA (253 nucleotides) under uncultured bacterium. Its description in RNAcentral is "partial 16S ribosomal RNA". It matches the Rfam family "Bacterial small subunit ribosomal RNA", at positions 524 to 776 of the family's 1533-position model. The record is from RNAcentral.
UACGUAGGUGGCAAGCGUUGUCCGGAAUUAUUGGGCGUAAAGCGCGCGCAGGCGGUCUUUUAAGUCUGAUGUGAAAGCCCACGGCUCAACCGUGGAGGGUCAUUGGAAACUGGGGGACUUGAGUGCAGAAGAGGAAAGCGGAAUUCCAAGUGUAGCGGUGAAAUGCGUAGAGAUUUGGAGGAACACCAGUGGCGAAGGCGGCUUUCUGGUCUGUAACUGACGCUGAGACACGAAAGCGUGGGUAGCAAACAGG